GAAACAAUCUCAUAACUCAUCCUUGCAAUCAAUUUGUGUUAGUAAUUGAGUGAGUGAGAAAUCAUCUUAUACACACUGGUGGGUACUUCCACCACAACCUUACCCUAGUAAUAUAUUAUACAAGAAUGCCCCGCAAAAAACCAGUAUUUUGGAUUUAUUUACACAGGGACAAAGUCAGAUUCAACUAUCACCACAAUGAGCCAACAGAGUUGGCUUCCGGUAACCACCGCAUCAAAUGGCAUUCAAGGUUGGAGGGCCACCAUCAUCAUGCAAUAGCAUUGUGUGCACACGAGUACAAAAAGUUAAACCAAAGCGUUGUUCUAUCUCCUAAGAUGAUCACGGGUGAAAAACGGAUGCCGCAAGGCUUCCCGAGCAGUUAAUCUUUCUGAAGGAUCAUAUCUAAGAAGUCCUUGCAAAAGAUUAAUAAGAUCACCUGCAGAAUGAUCCACAUGCUGCAUGAUAAUGUUCUGAAGACGGGCCAACUUUAACACAGCUCUAAUACUAUCCCGGGAAGUUGCCCCCUCAGGCCAGUCCAACCGUCCUCUUCUAACAUACUUCUCUGCUUGACGGUCCACUCUUUUCAGCAUGUGCUGAGGCAGGGGGCCCAGUACUUUCUCCAUCAUAGCAAGGUGCUCUAAAUUCUCGUGCGUCUGAAACAAUGCUUCUCCCGAACAAAGUUCCACAAGGAUACAGCCAACACUCCAUAUAUCACAAGGGUACGUCCACCCAAGACCUAGGAUAACUUCAGGUGCACGGUAAUGACGAGUUGACACAACAUAUGUCUGAUUCUGGCGGUCAUAUGUAGUGCUACCAAAAUCAAUUACCUUUAUAGCACUUGAUUUUGGGAUUCUUUUAUAGUAAGAACCAUCUUUUGGUGACCUAGAAGACACCUUGUAGUCAGGAACCUUUACAUAUUCUGGGGAGAUGAGAAGUAUGUUCUCAGGCUUCAGGUCAGUAUGGAUAAGGCGCAAAUCAUGCAUAACGAUUGCCAUUAUCAUGUUUACCAAGCUGUUGAAGCAUUUCAACCUCUAUCAUUGCGGCAUCACGAUACUUCUUCAUACCCCGAACAAUUUUGAUAGCCACCAUUUCUUUCCUUUCGCGAUCCCAGCAUUCUAGGACCUGACCGAAAGUACCUUCACCCAUCUUACUGUGGAUCUUAUAGCGUGGUGUUAAAUUUUCUCCCAGCUCAAACACAAAAUGUCCAUCCUUGUCAUCUUCUCUCCGAGGGGGAGAACCAUUUUGAGCCACUCCCUUAAUAGUAAAGGGAGCACUAGUAAGGUCAGUGAGUUGCCUUGAAGAUGCAUAGCUUGUCACAUUCCCCACAUCUUGUCCACAAAACAAUCCUAGCUGAGCCUUAGGCGGUUCAGGAAGAACAUCCCAGCCCAGACGCGCCCUCUUUCUUGGCCGCCGAUCAAGAUUCGUCAACGGAAAGCCGGUCACGCGCUCAGUUUCCAUGGCAGAAAGCUUACAAAUUUAGAGAGAGAAAACAAUUGCAAAGAAAGUUAGGAAAAG
This 1512-nucleotide unclassified non-coding RNA is filed under the name Hevea brasiliensis (rubber tree). The record is from RNAcentral. Lineage: Eukaryota; Viridiplantae; Streptophyta; Magnoliopsida; Malpighiales; Euphorbiaceae.